Molecule: RNase P RNA, 372 nt
Filed under: Oscillospiraceae bacterium
Lineage: Bacteria; Bacillati; Bacillota; Clostridia; Eubacteriales; Oscillospiraceae
Description: RNase P RNA component class A
Rfam family: Bacterial RNase P class A
About the family: Ribonuclease P (RNase P) is a ubiquitous endoribonuclease, found in archaea, bacteria and eukarya as well as chloroplasts and mitochondria. Its best characterised activity is the generation of mature 5'-ends of tRNAs by cleaving the 5'-leader elements of precursor-tRNAs. Cellular RNase Ps are ribonucleoproteins.
Source: RNAcentral
CAACCGAGUCGGAUAGUCGCGGCUGAUGCCCCAACGGGCAUCAGGUGAGGAAAGUCCGGGCUCCACAGGGCAAGGAUAACGGGUAACGCCCGCCGGGGGUGACCCCAGGACAAGUGCAACAGAGAUAUACCGCCUCAGCGCGAUCAUCUUAACGCGAAUCGACGAUGAGGUAAGGGUGAAAAGGUGGGGUAAGAGCCCACCCGGCCUGUGGAAACACAGGUUUUACGAUGUAAACUCUAUCCGGAGCAACGCCGUGGAGGAACAAUAGGUUUGCCCGACCGUUCCAAGGAGGCGGCUGAAACCUGUGAGCAAUUGCAGGUUUAGAUAGAUGACUAUCAAGACAGAACCCGGCUUAUAGACUCGCGUUGCGUU